CCUACGGGAGGCAGCAGUGGGGAAUAUUGGGCAAUGGGCGCAAGCCUGACCCAGCAACGCCGCGUGAAGGAAGAAGGCUUUCGGGUUGUAAACUUCUUUUCUCAGGGACGAAGAAAGUGACGGUACCUGAGGAAUAAGCCACGGCUAACUACGUGCCAGCAGCCGCGGUAAUACGUAGGUGGCAAGCGUUAUCCGGAUUUACUGGGUGUAAAGGGCGUGUAGGCGGGAAAGCAAGUCAGAUGUGAAAACCAUGGGCUCAACCUGUGGCCUGCAUUUGAAACUGUUUUUCUUGAGUACUGGGGAGGCAGACGGAAUUCCUCGUGUAGCGGUGAAAUGCGUAGAUAUGAGGAGGAACACCAGUGGCGAAGGCGGUCUGCUGGACAGCAACUGACGCUGAGGCGCGAAAGCGUGGGGAGCAAACAGGAUUAGAUACCCUGGUAGUC
This 443-nucleotide ribosomal RNA is filed under the name uncultured bacterium. RNAcentral describes it as "partial 16S ribosomal RNA". It matches the Rfam family "Bacterial small subunit ribosomal RNA", at positions 338 to 795 of the family's 1533-position model. The record is from RNAcentral.